This 322-nucleotide ribosomal RNA is filed under the name uncultured eukaryote. RNAcentral's name for it is "partial 18S ribosomal RNA". It matches the Rfam family "Eukaryotic small subunit ribosomal RNA", at positions 1470 to 1796 of the family's 1831-position model. The record is from RNAcentral.
CCCUUAGAUGUUCUGGGCCGCACGCGUGCUACACUGAGUGGAUCAGCGGGUCAGGUUGCGCGAAAGCGUUUCCUAAUCUUUAAAUCCGCUCGUGAUGGGGAUUGACGGUUGCAAUUUUCUGUCAUGAACGAGGAAUACCUUGUAAGCGCGGGUCAUCAUCCCGCGCUGAAUACGUCCCUGCCCUUUGUACACACCGCACGUCGCUCCUACCGAUUGAGUGGUCCGGUGAGGCUUUGGGAUCUGAGCGGAAAGAGCGUUUCGCUGUUUCUGCUCGGAAAACUCAGUCGAACCUUAUCAUUUAGAGGAAGGAGAAGUCGUAACA